This 505-nucleotide ribosomal RNA is filed under the name uncultured bacterium. RNAcentral describes it as "bacterial SSU rRNA". It matches the Rfam family "Bacterial small subunit ribosomal RNA", at positions 501 to 1008 of the family's 1533-position model. The record is from RNAcentral.
CUACGUGCCAGCAGCCGCGGUAAUACGGAAGGUUCGGGCGUUAUCCGGAUUUAUUGGGUUUAAAGGGAGCGUAGGCCGGAGAUUAAGUGUGUUGUGAAAUGUAGACGCUCAACGUCUGACUUGCAGCGCAUACUGGUUUCCUUGAGUACGCACAACGUUGGCGGAAUUCGUCGUGUAGCGGUGAAAUGCUUAGAUAUGACGAAGAACUCCGAUUGCGAAGGCAGCUGACGGGAGCGCAACUGACGCUGAAGCUCGAAGGUGCGGGUAUCGAACAGGAUUAGAUACCCUGGUAGUCCGCACAGUAAACGAUGGAUGCCCGCUGUUGGUACCUAGUAUCAGCGGCUAAGCGAAAGCAUUAAGCAUCCCACCUGGGGAGUACGCCGGCAACGGUGAAACUCAAAGGAAUUGACGGGGGCCCGCACAAGCGGAGGAGCAUGUGGUUUAAUUCGAUGAUACGCGAGGAACCUUACCCGGGCUUGAAUUGCAGAGGAAGGAUUUAGAGAUA